UUUGGUUAAGUUAGAAAGGGCGCACGGUGGAUGCCUUGACACUAGGAGUCGAUGAAGGACGGGACUAACGCCGAUAUGCUUCGGGGAGCUGUAAGUAAGCUUUGAUCCGAAGAUUUCCGAAUGGGGAAACCCACCAUACGUAAUGGUAUGGUAUCCUUAUCUGAAUACAUAGGGUAAGGAAGACAGACCCAGGGAACUGAAACAUCUAAGUACCUGGAGGAAGAGAAAGCAAAUGCGAUUUCCUGAGUAGCGGCGAGCGAAACGGAACAUAGCCCAAACCAAGAGGCUUGCCUCUUGGGGUUGUAGGACAUUCUAUACGGAGUUACAAAGGAACGAGGUAGACGAAGCGACCUGGAAAGGUCCGUCGUAGAGGGUAACAACCCCGUAGUCGAAACUUCGUUCUCUCUUGAAUGUAUCCUGAGUACGGCGGAACACGUGAAAUUCCGUCGGAAUCUGGGAGGACCAUCUCCCAAGGCUAAAUACUCCCUAGUGAUCGAUAGUGAACCAGUACCGUGAGGGAAAGGUGAAAAGCACCCCGGAAGGGGAGUGAAAGAGAUCCUGAAACCGUGUGCCUACAAAUAGUCAGAGCCCGUUAACGGGUGAUGGCGUGCCUUUUGUAGAAUGAACCGGCGAGUUACGAUCCCGUGCGAGGUUAAGCUGAAGAGGCGGAGCCGCAGCGAAAGCGAGUCUGAAUAGGGCGUUUAGUACGUGGUCGUAGACCCGAAACCAGGUGAUCUACCCAUGUCCAGGGUGAAGUUCAGGUAACACUGAAUGGAGGCCCGAACCCACGCACGUUGAAAAGUGCGGGGAUGAGGUGUGGGUAGCGGAGAAAUUCCAAUCGAACCUGGAGAUAGCUGGUUCUCCCCGAAAUAGCUUUAGGGCUAGCCUUAAGUGUAAGAGUCUUGGAGGUAGAGCACUGAUUGGACUAGGGGUCCUCAUCGGAUUACCGAAUUCAGUCAAACUCCGAAUGCCAAUGACUUAUCCUUAGGAGUCAGACUGCGAGUGAUAAGAUCCGUAGUCAAAAGGGAAACAGCCCAGACCGCCAGCUAAGGUCCCAAAGUGUGUAUUAAGUGGAAAAGGAUGUGGAGUUGCUUAGACAACUAGGAUGUUGGCUUAGAAGCAGCCACCAUUUAAAGAGUGCGUAAUAGCUCACUAGUCGAGUGACUCUGCGCCGAAAAUGUACCGGGGCUAAAUACACCACCGAAGCUGCGGAUUGAUACCAAUGGUAUCAGUGGUAGGGGAGCGUUCUAAGGACAGUGAAGUCAGACCGGAAGGACUGGUGGAGUGCUUAGAAGUGAGAAUGCCGGUAUGAGUAGCGAAAGACGGGUGAGAAUCCCGUCCACCGAAUGCCUAAGGUUUCCUGAGGAAGGCUCGUCCGCUCAGGGUUAGUCAGGACCUAAGCCGAGGCCGACAGGCGUAGGCGAUGGACAACAGGUUGAUAUUCCUGUACCACCUCUUUAUCGUUUGAGCAAUGGAGGGACGAGAAGGAUAGAAGAAGCGUGCGAUUGGUUGUGCACGUCCAAGCAGUUAGGCUGAUAAGUAGGCAAAUCCGCUUAUCGUAAAGGCUGAGCUGUGAUGGGGAAGCUCCUUAUGGAGCGAAGUCUUUGAUUCCCCGCUGCCAAGAAAAGCUUCUAGCGAGAUAAAAGGUGCCUGUACCGCAAACCGACACAGGUAGGCGAGGAGAGAAUCCUAAGGUGUGCGAGAGAACUCUGGUUAAGGAACUCGGCAAAAUGACCCCGUAACUUCGGGAGAAGGGGUGCUUUCUUAACGGAAAGCCGCAGUGAAUAGGCCCAAGCGACUGUUUAGCAAAAACACAGCUCUCUGCGAAGCCGUAAGGCGAAGUAUAGGGGGUGACACCUGCCCGGUGCUGGAAGGUUAAGGAGAGGGGUUAGCGUAAGCGAAGCUCUGAACUGAAGCCCCAGUAAACGGCGGCCGUAACUAUAACGGUCCUAAGGUAGCGAAAUUCCUUGUCGGGUAAGUUCCGACCCGCACGAAAGGUGUAACGAUUUGGGCACUGUCUCAACCAGAGACUCGGUGAAAUUAUAGUACCUGUGAAGAUGCAGGUUACCCGCGACAGGACGGAAAGACCCCGUGGAGCUUUACUGUAGCCUGAUAUUGAAUUUUGGUACAGUUUGUACAGGAUAGGCGGGAGCCAUUGAAACCGGAGCGCUAGCUUCGGUGGAGGCGCUGGUGGGAUACCGCCCUGACUGUAUUGAAAUUCUAACCUACGGGUCUUAUCGACCCGGGAGACAGUGUCAGGUGGGCAGUUUGACUGGGGCGGUCGCCUCCUAAAGUGUAACGGAGGCGCCCAAAGGUUCCCUCAGAAUGGUUGGAAAUCAUUCGUAGAGUGCAAAGGCAUAAGGGAGCUUGACUGCGAGACCUACAAGUCGAGCAGGGACGAAAGUCGGGCUUAGUGAUCCGGUGGUUCCGCAUGGAAGGGCCAUCGCUCAACGGAUAAAAGCUACCCCGGGGAUAACAGGCUUAUCUCCCCCAAGAGUCCACAUCGACGGGGAGGUUUGGCACCUCGAUGUCGGCUCAUCGCAUCCUGGGGCUGUAGUCGGUCCCAAGGGUUGGGCUGUUCGCCCAUUAAAGCGGUACGCGAGCUGGGUUCAGAACGUCGUGAGACAGUUCGGUCCCUAUCCGUCGUGGGCGUAGGAAAUUUGAGAGGAGCUGUCCUUAGUACGAGAGGACCGGGAUGGACGCACCGCUGGUGUACCAGUUGUUCUGCCAAGGGCAUAGCUGGGUAGCUAUGUGCGGAAGGGAUAAGUGCUGAAAGCAUCUAAGCAUGAAGCCCCCCUCAAGAUGAGAUUUCCCAUAGCGUAAGCUAGUAAGAUCCCUGAAAGAUGAUCAGGUUGAUAGGUUCGAGGUGGAAGCAUGGUGACAUGUGGAGCUGACGAAUACUAAUAGAUCGAGGACUUAACCAUAUAA
RNAcentral lists this ribosomal RNA (2928 nucleotides) under Bacillus thuringiensis. Its description in RNAcentral is "23S ribosomal RNA". It matches the Rfam family "Bacterial large subunit ribosomal RNA". Lineage: Bacteria; Bacillati; Bacillota; Bacilli; Caryophanales; Bacillaceae. The record is from RNAcentral.